GGGGAAAAUUAAAAAUUUAAAUUUAAUAAAAAAAAUUUUAAUAUUAAAAAGAAAAAUGGGGGUUUAAGUAUUUUUAAUAGAAAAAAUUAAUAUUUUUAUAGUUAAAUAUUACUGUAAAGGAAUUUAUAAAUAAUUGAAAUAAAAUUAAUAAUAAAGUAAAUUUAAUUUAUUGUAUCUUGUGUAUCAGAGUUUAUUAAAUAAUAAUAAUUUAUUUAAAUAAAUCUCGAAUUUAAAAGAGUUAAUUAAUUAAUAAAGUUAAUGUUGAAUAAUUAUUUUUAAUAAUUAAUUAGAAAUGAAAUGUUAAUCGUUUUUAAAUAUAUCUAGUUUUUUUAGAAAAAAAUUUAAUUUAAAAUUUAAAUAAUUUUAUAAUUAAUUAAUUAAUUAUAAAAAUUUAAAAUUUAAUAUUUUAGGGGAUAAGCUUUAAAUUAAAAAUUUAUAAUUAAAUUAAAUAAAAAUUAAAAUUUUUAAAAUUUAUAUUGUUUAAAAAUUAUAAUUUAUUAUAAAAAAUUUUAUUUUAAAUAAAAUUUAAAAUAAGAAAAUUUAAAUUUUUAUAAAAAAAUAAUUUAUAAUUUAAUAAAAUUAGAAAUAAUGAUAAAAUUAGUAUAAUAUAAAAAAUAAAAUAAAAUUUAUAAUUAAGUAAAUUAAAGGAAUUCGGCAAAAAUUUAUAUUCACUUGUUUAUCAAAAACAUGUCUUUUUGAUAAUAAUUUAAAGUCUAAUCUGCCCACUGAUAUAAUAAUUAAAGGGCUGCAGUAUAUUGACUGUACAAAGGUAGCAUAAUCAUUAGUCUUUUAAUUGAAGACUUGUAUGAAAGAUUUGAUGAAAUAUAAACUGUCUCUAAUUUAUGUUUAGAAAUUAAUUUUUUAGUUAAAAAGCUAAAAUAAUAUUAAAAGACGAGAAGACCCUAUAGAGUUUUAUAUUUUAUUUAUUUAAUAUUAAAUAUAUAAAUUAAAUAUAUUAAUUAAAUAAAAUAUUAUAUUGGGGUGAUAGAAAAAUUUAAUAAACUUUUUUUUUGAUUAAACAUAAAUAAGUGAGUAAUUGAUCCAUUAGUAAUGAUUAAAAGAAAAAAUUACCUUAGGGAUAACAGCGUAAUAUUUUUUUUUAGUACAAAUAAAAAAAAAAGUUUGCGACCUCGAUGUUGGAUUAAGAUAAAAUUUAAAUGCAAAAGUUUAAAAUUUUGAUCUGUUCGAUCAUUAAAAUCUUACAUGAUCUGAGUUCAAACCGGUGUAAGCCAGGUUGGUUUCUAUCUUUAAAGAAAAAAAAUAUUUUAGUACGAAAGGAUCAAAUAUUUAAAAUAGUUUUAAUUAAAAUGAAUAUUAAUAAUAUAAUAUAU
This 1331-nucleotide ribosomal RNA is filed under the name Junonia chorimene. RNAcentral's name for it is "16S ribosomal RNA". Lineage: Eukaryota; Metazoa; Arthropoda; Insecta; Lepidoptera; Nymphalidae. The record is from RNAcentral.